RNAcentral lists this ribosomal RNA (448 nucleotides) under uncultured bacterium. Its description in RNAcentral is "bacterial SSU rRNA". It matches the Rfam family "Bacterial small subunit ribosomal RNA", at positions 28 to 506 of the family's 1533-position model. The record is from RNAcentral.
GAUGAACGCUGGCGGCGUGCUUAACACAUGCAAGUCGAACGGGAAGCGUAUCUUCGGAUGGGCUUCUAGUGGCGAACGGGUGCGUAACACGUAGGAACCUGCCCCAGAGAGGGGAUAACAGCUCGAAAGGGUUGCUAAUCCCGCAUGACCUCGGCGACGAGGAAAGCUCCGGCGCUCUGGGAUGGGCCUGCGGCCUAUCAGGUAGUUGGUGGGGUAACGGCCCACCAAGCCGACGACGGGUAGGGGGCGUGAGAGCGUGGCCCCCCCACACGGGAACUGAGACACGGUCCCGACGCCUACGGGCGGCAGCAGUGAGGAAUCUUGCACAAUGGGGGCAACCCUGAUGCAGCGACGCCGCGUGCGGGAUGAAGGCCUUCGGGUCGUAAACCGCUUUUUCUGGGGGACGAGGAAGGACGGUACCCCAGGAAUAAGUCCCGGCUAACUACGU